CCAGUGACCACAAGUUCAACGGCCGCGGUAUUUUGACCGUGCAAAGGUAGCGCAAUCACUUGUCUUUUAAAUGAAGACCUGUAUGAAUGGCCAAACGAGGGCUUAGCUGUCUCCCCUUUCAAGUCAGUGAAAUUGAUCUGCCCGUGCAGAAGCGGGCAUAAAAUUACAAGACGAGAAGACCCUUUGGAGCUUAAGGUUCAAAUCCAACCGCGUCAAACAACUUAAUAAGUAAGGACUAAACCUAGCGGAAACUGGAACUUUACCUUCGGUUGGGGCGACCACGGAGAACAACACAUCCUCCGAGUGGACUGGGCCAACAAGCCUAAAACUAAGAAAUACACUUCUAAGCCACAGAAAAUCUGACCAACAAAGAUCCGGCCCACGGGCCGAUCAACGGACCAAGUUACCCUAGGGAUAACAGCGCAAUCCUCUCCCAGAGUCCAUAUCGACGAGGGGGUUUACGACCUCGAUGUUGGAUCAGGACAUCCUAAUGGUGCAGCCGCUAU
RNAcentral lists this ribosomal RNA (506 nucleotides) under Sabanejewia baltica. RNAcentral's name for it is "partial 16S ribosomal RNA". It matches the Rfam family "Bacterial large subunit ribosomal RNA", at positions 1863 to 2565 of the family's 2925-position model. The record is from RNAcentral. Lineage: Eukaryota; Metazoa; Chordata; Actinopteri; Cypriniformes; Cobitidae.